AGCGAACGCUGGCGGCAGGCUUAACACAUGCAAGUCGAGCGGGCAUCUUCGGAUGUCUGCGGCAGUCGGGUGCGUAACACGUGGGAACGUCCCCUUAGGUUCGGAACAACUCUGGGAAACUGGAGCUAAUACCGGCUACGCCCUCAUGGGUAAAGGUUUACUGCCGAAGGAGCGGCCCGCGCCUGAUUAGCUAGUUGGUGGGGUAACGGACUACCAAGGCGAGGAUCAGUAGCUGGGCAGAGAGGAUGAUCAGCGACACUGGAGAUGGGACACGGUCGGGACUCCUAGACGAGGGGGGAAUGGGUAAUACAGGAAAGUGGGGUGAGGGCAGAAGGUCCUAGGAUUGGAGAGUAAUGAAGGUCUGGAGGAAGUAAAGCACGUUAGUCCGGGACUGUAAUGACGGUACCGAAAGAAUAAGCCCCGGCUAACUUCGUG
This 435-nucleotide ribosomal RNA is filed under the name uncultured bacterium. RNAcentral describes it as "partial 16S ribosomal RNA". It matches the Rfam family "Bacterial small subunit ribosomal RNA", at positions 30 to 507 of the family's 1533-position model. The record is from RNAcentral.